This 1610-nucleotide long non-coding RNA is filed under the name Mus musculus (house mouse). RNAcentral's name for it is "long non-coding RNA chr4:49532183-49533793". Lineage: Eukaryota; Metazoa; Chordata; Mammalia; Rodentia; Muridae. The record is from RNAcentral.
ACAUAAUCUCAAACACAUAAAAUAAUUUUUAAAACUACCCUACGUAUUAAAUUUCACCUGCGCUAGAUCAUCCCAGUUUAUUUUAUACCACUGGUUCCUAGGUCAAGGCCUUAAAUAAUGAUGAGGCUUUUUAGAACGCCUCUCAAUUAAAAACGAAGAGGGGGGAAGGAGAGGGAGAAGGGAGAAGGAGAAGAAGCCUUAAUCCAAAGUGUGUUUUCACUGAAAGCUUAGAUAAGCUAAUUUAUUCUAAGAACAAAUCCAUAAUUCCUUAUCUAAUGCCUUAAGAUCAUGUGUCUCCAAAAUCAUAUCUUUUCAGAUUUUGUGGAGAAAAUUCAAUGCUGGCACUAUUUAUUACAUAGCUCUCCACCGGACCUUGGCAGUGCCUCAAACACAUUAAUUCCUUUAUUACACCAGUAAUGACAGACAGCCUCUGGUCAAUUUUUCCACCAAGUAAUUUCCUGGAAACUUAUAUGAAAACUCAAAGUUUCCAGAACAUUUAUUUUAGAACUGUGACUAACGGGUUGUGAGCUUGUUCAGAUGUACUGUCUUGUUUCUUCUCUCAACAACAUGAUAAGUGCAUAAUGUAUAGAUGAAUAGAGCAACAGUGUGUGAUGUGUUCAUGCUCCCAUAGCUAAGUGGUAAUGCCAUCUUUUGAAUGUAGUUGGGGCUUGUAAUUCUGUGAUGAAACACUAUGACCAUAAACAACUUGGGGAGGAAAGGGGUUAUUUUAUCUUACAGCUUACAGUCCAUCAUGACAGGACAUCAGGGCCGGAACACAAGCAAGAAUCUAAAGGCAGGAGCUGAAGCAGAGGACAUGGGGGAAUGCAUAUUGGCUUGCUCCCCUCCAUAGCUUUCUCAGCCUGCAUUCUUUUAAGCACCCAGGACCACUUGUCCAGGGUUGGCACCAACCACAAUGAGCACUACCCCCAGGCCCAUCUGAUGGAACCCUUUUCUCAAAUGAGGUUCUUCUCAAAUGAUACUAGCUCAUGCCAAGUUGACACAGCACUAGCCUACACACAAAAUUUAAAAUGUGCUCUCCUUGAAGAGUUUUCAAACUAUAGUAGCCCAACUCUCACUAACUGGAUUUAAGACCUUUGGAUGACCUUUUAGGGCACUACAACUCAGUUUGCUCCUCUUGCUGUGAGACCCCUGAAUAUCUAAAUCAUGUGGACCUACAGCCCAUUUUGGGCUUGGACUUUGGCCUUGUCUUCCCUAUGAUGUUUGAAAUCCUUUGAAAGAUUGUCACAUAUGUCACAUACAGUGUGAAUUUUUAAAAAUAGUAUUUUUGUAAAGUGUAAUGUAGGCUUUUUUAAAUCCAGGUUUCUCUCACAAGUCUUUUUAGAUUGUUAAUGGUUCCCCUUGUCUUUGAAGGUCUUUCAGUUAACGCCACAUAAUUACAAUUUGUUUUAGUUUUUUUUUCUUCUUUCUCAUUUCUCUUCCCCUGUUUCUCUAACUCCCCCAGUCAUGCCCUGAUUCUUGGGGGGGGAGGGGAGGUGGGAUAUCAAAUUUCUAAGUUUAUUACUUUCACCGUUUAGGCAAUUCUUUUUUGGUUCUUAAUAUCUAUGUCUUCAAAUAUAUCUUUUAGUAACUAAUUAAAAUAUUUUUGACAU